AUACGUAGGGUGCGAGCGUUAAUCGGAAUUACUGGGCGUAAAGCGUGCGCAGGCGGUUUAGUAAGACAGGCGUGAAAUCCCCGGGCUCAACCUGGGGAACUGCGCUUGUGACUGCUAAGCUAGAGUACGGCAGAGGGGGGUGGAAUUCCACGUGUAGCAGUGAAAUGCGUAGAGAUGUGGAGGAACACCGAUGGCGAAGGCAGCCCCCUGGGCCGAUACUGACGCUCAUGCACGAAAGCGUGGGUAGC
RNAcentral lists this ribosomal RNA (248 nucleotides) under uncultured bacterium. RNAcentral's name for it is "partial 16S ribosomal RNA". It matches the Rfam family "Bacterial small subunit ribosomal RNA", at positions 523 to 769 of the family's 1533-position model. The record is from RNAcentral.